GACGAACGCUGGCGGCGCGCCUAACACAUGCAAGUCGAACGAGCGAGAGAGAGCUUGCUUUCUCAAGCGAGUGGCGAACGGGUGAGUAACGCGUGAGGAACCUGCCUCAAAGAGGGGGACAACAGUUGGAAACGACUGCUAAUACCGCAUAAGACCACAGUAUCGCAUGAUACAAGGGUCAAAGGAGUCAAAUCUGGUGAUAGAUGAGCUUGCGUAUCAUUAGCUAGUUGGUAAGGGUAACGGCCUACCAAGGCGACGAUGAUUAGCCGAUCUGAGAGGAUGACCGGCCACACUGGAACUGAGAUACGGUCCAG
This 314-nucleotide ribosomal RNA is filed under the name uncultured bacterium. Its description in RNAcentral is "bacterial SSU rRNA". It matches the Rfam family "Bacterial small subunit ribosomal RNA", at positions 28 to 334 of the family's 1533-position model. The record is from RNAcentral.